GAGUGAGGAUGAGACUGAGAGAGAUGAUGAGAGGGGAGGAUGAGAGGGAGGAGUAACAAAAGUGAAAACAAUUUCAAAUAGAUUUCAGUUUUUAGUUUUUGUUUUCACUUUUAUUACUCUUACUCUAAUCCUCCCCUCUUCUUCUCUCUUAAUCCCAUCUUCACUCU
This 167-nucleotide small nucleolar RNA is filed under the name Prunus dulcis (almond). RNAcentral describes it as "sRNA ncRNA". Lineage: Eukaryota; Viridiplantae; Streptophyta; Magnoliopsida; Rosales; Rosaceae. The record is from RNAcentral.